Nerophis ophidion (straightnose pipefish) is the source of this 4135-nucleotide long non-coding RNA. RefSeq lists it as uncharacterized. NCBI's taxonomy places the organism in Eukaryota, Metazoa, Chordata, Actinopteri, Syngnathiformes, Syngnathidae. The record is from RefSeq and is a predicted model, not a curated record. The transcript is spliced from 3 exons.
CCUCGGAGAAGGUGAAGGGCGUGGCGUCGUGACUCAGGCCGUGCAGGGCGCCCGACUUGCCCGCCAUGCUCUCGAUGAGCAUGCCGAUGGUCAUGCGCGAGGGGAAGCCGUGGGGGUUGAAGAGGAUGUCCGGACUCAUGCCGCUCUCGCUGAAGGGCAUGUCCUCGGGCGGCCACAGGCGGCUCAGGAUGCCCUUUUGGCCGUGGCGGCUGGCGAACUUGUCCCCGAUGACCGGGUUCCUGGGCACGCGCACCGUGAUGCACACGCGCUUGAAGGGCCCCGUGCCCGCGUCGUUGCUGCACACCUUGAUGUUGUCCACCACGCACGCCUCCUGGCUCCUGGAGGAGACCACAUGCAUUAACACCUUAUAAUGGGACUGUCCCUCCAGAAACUAGGUGGAGGAGAGAAAAAAACAAUUCACACCCGAAGCGAGAUUUAUAAUUUUCAAAAUCUUUAUAUUUUUAAGAACGGCAGCCAAGUGGAGCGUUUGUAACAAAACAAACAUAUUUUAGUACCAAAAAAAAAAACCUAAUCACGAACAUUGCGAUUAAAUCAAAAAACCUAACCCUAAAACUAAAAAUCGCACUCUAGCGCCCCGUAGGAAUAAAACAGACAAAACUGCUCCUAGGAAGAAAACACAGACAAAACUGCCUGUAACUUCCAGUAGGAAUGUCGUAGAGACAUUAACAAAAACCACUAUGUAGGUCUCACUUAGACCUACAUUUCAUAUAGUGACAACCCCCAGCAAAAAUCAACAGGAAGUUUGCAAUCCCCCCUUCAAAACAAAACUUUUGUAAACACCGGUCAACUUUUUUCAAACAUUAUCUCCUCUGAGGGCGUUUGUCGUGUUGGCUUCAAACUAGCACUGGAGAGAGAUUGAACCCUUCUGAUUAAAAGUUGAUGAAAGAGUUUUAAUUACUGCUACGGUUUUGAUUUCAUCAGCGUUCAACGAACCGCUGCGCUAAAAACUAUUUCAAAGAUGGCCGCCGUGCGCAGACAGUGAGGGAGACAUUUCUUUUCCUUAUUUUUCUCCAUACCGUCUGCUGCUGUUGCGCACGCACCAACAUUCGUGAAGGAGGGGCUGUGAUCGUCUAUACCAAGAUGGCUGCCAGGUGCCGUAGCUAAGCCGGUGCCGACCAUCAGGGCCGAGUUGCGACGAGAGAGUGUGUCGAUGUUAAGAUAUUACGCCAAGUUGGCUUGCAGACGUGAAAGAAAAUGUCAACAAGGUACCUGCUCAAAGGUCCCAAUCAGCUCGGGUUGUCCCAGAGUCACGUUGUGGACGGGCCGCACCAUGCGGCACGGCGUGGUGAAGAGGAAGAGACCCGGGUACAAGCUGGCUUUGUCGCUCUUGGGGAUUAGAACAAUCUCAGUCCAGGGAUGCACCUUCUUCUCCUUCAGCACCUGCCAGAACCCCGACGUCAGUCCGAGUCCUCCGUCACCUCGCCCCCGUGCGGCUCGGCCUACCUUGAACGUCCGCAGUGAAUCCACCACGCCGGGGGCUAACUCCGCCUCCACCCAGCCCACCACGGCGCCGUCCAGAACCACGGGGUAGCAGUCCGAAUAGGCCUGGCCGGGAACGCCGUCCACCGGUGUGACACCUUGACAACAAGGCUGAGAUGAGACAGGAAGGAGGAGGAGGAGGAGGAGGCGGGCGCUCACCGAGGGAACACAGCAGGGUGGGCAGCGUCAGCGUGGGCAGCGACUGCACCACGAUCUCGCAGCUGGCCGUCAUGUGGUUCAUGAGGCCGCACGGCUCCCCGUCCGGGGUGUGGACCGGGCACAGGAAGCCCCAGGACUCCGGCAGCAGCUUCCUGACGGAGGUGGUCCUCAUCUUGGCGAAGGCGGCGCCUCUGUGCACGCAGCGGAAGUGCGAGAGGUAGCGGAUGAAGUUGAGCUUGUCGGCCACCACGCAGAGCCCCGUGCUCUGCAGCAUGCCCAGACCUGGGUGGGGGGGUAUGUUACACCGCCUUUUACCUUCUGCUACUAUUGGAGCUUUGUGUGUGUCGGACAACACCCAUAUCAGCAUGAGUCAUAGUAGGGUUGGACGCUGUACUAGAAUACUGCUGCGAUACUAAUCUAUCUUAUUCUGUACUAUACCCCUGCUUUUACAAGCAGAGGAGCAAGUUCGGCAGCGCACGCGCACAGAGUACUUACAAGCAGACACAGUGUGUGGACAGAAAAGGGAGAAUGGACGCAUUUUGGUGUAAAAAGUCAAGAUAAAGGUAAGUUAUAACACUGAAACACCCUCAGGUAGAGCUGCUUUAACACAUGGCUAGCUAGUUAGCGGCUAACAUCCAUCCACAGUGUUUUAGCUACUUCUAAAUCACUAUCCAAUCCAAUCCACUUUAUUUAUAUAGCACAUUUAAACAACAAUAACGUUUCCAAAGUGCUGCACAGCCAUGUUAAAAACAAUAUUAUGCUCCACCAAUGACUGAAUAAAACAAAAAAUGAAUAAAAAUAAAACCAAUAAAAACAAUAUAAAAACAAAUAUGAUUAAAAACUAUUUUAAAGGGUAAAAUCAAUUAAAAUAGUAAAAUAGAAAUCAAAGUGUAUAAAAAACACAGAGGACAACAGAGGACCACACAACUCACGUAGUGUUAAAAGCCAAAGAAUAAAAGUGGGUCUUAAGAUGAGACUUAAAACACUCCACUGUGGAAGCAGUUUGAACAUGGAGGGGCAGAGUGUUCCAGAGCUUAGGGCCGACCACAGAGAAGGCCCUGUCUCCCCUGGUCUUAAGUCUGGUCUUGGGCACCACGAGCUGGAGCUGGCUCUCGGACCUCAGAGCGCGCGCAGGAAUGUAAAUUUGAAUGAGGUCCGAUAUCCUAAUCCUUAUCUCCAUGGCGACAAAGUAAGUUUCUUAAAUGGAGGUCGAGGAAUAGUUCAACAUACUUCACUACACACCGUAGGAGGAUACAAUAGCUUGAAAAUUAACUUUUACCUUGAAAAUCUAAACUUUUACCUUGAAAAUCAAAACUUUUACCUUGAAAAUCAAAACAUUUACCUUGAAAAUCAAAACAUUUACCUUAAAUAAUUUUUUGUCUUGAAAAAUCAUAAAGUACUAGACUGCCUCUAAAAACGUGUCAUCAUCAUGUGGUGACAUUACUAGUUCUACGAGCAGAGGAGCAUGUUCGGCAGCGCACGCGCACAGAGUACUUACAAGCAGACACAGUGUGUAGACAAAAGGGAGAAUGGACGAAUUUUGGUGUAAAAAGUCAAGAUAAAGGUGAAAUUAUCAACACUGAAACACCCUCAGGAAGAGCUGCUUUAACACAUGGCUAGCUAGUUAGCGGCUAACAUCCAUCCACAGCUAAUUCUAAAUCACUAAUCCUUAUCUCCAUGGCGACAAAUAAAGUAAGUUUCUUACAUGGAGGAUGAGGAAUAGCUAAACAUGCUUCACUACACACCGUAGGAGGAUACAAUAGCUUGAAAAUUAACUUUUACCUUGAAAAUAAUUUCUUGUCCUGAAAAUCAAUUUUUACCUUAAAAAAUUUUUGUCUUGAAAAUCAUCUUUUACCUUGAAAAUCUAAACUUUUACCGGUGCCUUAAAUAUUUUUUUGUCUUGAAAAAUCAUAUACGGUACUAGACUGCCUCAAAAAACGUGUCAUCGUCAUGUGGUGACAUUGCUGGUUUUACGAGCAGAGGAGCAUGUUCGGCAGCGCACACACACAGAGUACUUACAAGCAGACACAGUGUGUAGACAGAAAAGGGAGAACGGACGCAUUUUGGUGUAAAAAGACAAGCUAAAGGUAAAGUUAUAACACUGAAACACCCUCAGGAAGAGCUGCGUCCAGCCGCAGUCGGCAGUGUUUUAGCUACGUCUAAAUCACUAAUCCUUGUCUCCAUGGCGACAAAUAAAGUAAGUUUCUUACAAGUACCAUUAUCACUGGAGGACGAGCAAUAGCUAAACAUGCUUUACUACACAGCGUAGGAGGAUACAAUAGGUCACCGCCAUCAAAAUGUAAACAAAUGCCAUGGGUGGAUCUACACCUGACAUCCACUAUGAUGAUACCAAGUACAAUAGUGUAUGUAGUCAAUACUACUAUGAUUACGUCACUUUUUUUUGGCAUCAAAAUCUUUUUUCAUUUUAAAAAAAUCUAUAUUAUGUUUAUAAAGUGAGGAAAUACAUCCCUGGACA